Molecule: ribosomal RNA, 273 nt
Filed under: uncultured Fluviicola sp.
Lineage: Bacteria; Pseudomonadati; Bacteroidota; Flavobacteriia; Flavobacteriales; Crocinitomicaceae
Description: partial 16S ribosomal RNA
Rfam family: Bacterial small subunit ribosomal RNA
Source: RNAcentral
UACGGAGGGUGCAAGCGUUAUCCGGAAUCAUUGGGUUUAAAGGGUCCGCAAGCGGGUUUAUAAGUCAGUGGUGAAAGCCUACAGCUCAACUGUAGAACUGCCAUUGAUACUGUAGAUCUUGAAUUCGGUCGAAGUGGGCGGAAUAUGACAUGUAGCGGUGAAAUGCUUAGAUAUGUCAUAGAACACCGAUAGCGAAGGCAGCUCACUAGGCCUGGAUUGACGCUCAGGGACGAAAGCGUGGGGAGCAAACAGGAUUAGAUACCCCGGUAGUCC